Molecule: ribosomal RNA, 253 nt
Filed under: uncultured bacterium
Lineage: Bacteria
Description: partial 16S ribosomal RNA
Rfam family: Bacterial small subunit ribosomal RNA
Source: RNAcentral
UACAGAGGUCCCGAGCGUUGUUCGGAUUCACUGGGCGUAAAGGGUGCGUAGGUGGCGAGGUAAGUCGGAUGUGAAAGCUCGGAGCUCAACUCCGAAAUGGCAUUGGAAACUACCUUGCUCGAGGGUUGGAGGGGGGACUGGAAUGCUUGGUGUAGCAGUGAAAUGCGUAGAUAUCAAGCGGAACACCGGUGGCGAAGGCGGCUCUCUGGACCGAUACUGACGCUGAGGCGCGAAAGCGUGGGGAGCAAACAGG